GGUUUUUGAAGCGCUUGCAGAACCAGGACCUCUGGCGUGGACGUUUGUCAAAGAAGAAGUGAAGUGUGCUGGAGCUGUGAAGAGCUAACUACAGUAGGCUUUACCGGUCCGACAGAAACUUGUGAAACUUCAGUGAUGACGGUGAGCUCUGUAUUUGUCCCUCAAAGGUACCUUUCUUAGAUAUGUUGGGAUUACACUCAGAUGUAGAGUCACUGCUCUAUUUAGAGUCAGUAAAAGCAAUAUCUUAUUGUUUGCAACAAAUUCUUUUUGUCCCCAACAAGUGUUAAAAAUCUUUUCCGGCUUAAUGCAUUGAGGCCUACUAUCUUCUACCUCAUUUUGUCUUAAUGGCAUUCAGUUCAUGACACCCAGCAGGGAAUGAGUCGAUCACCUUGUUUGAUCACCUGGUUUUAUCUAUCUAUCCAUCUAUCUAUCUAUCUAUCUAUCUAUCUAUCUAUCUAUCUAUCUAUCU
This is a long non-coding RNA of Electrophorus electricus (electric eel), 469 nucleotides long. RefSeq lists it as uncharacterized. NCBI's taxonomy places the organism in Eukaryota, Metazoa, Chordata, Actinopteri, Gymnotiformes, Gymnotidae. The record is from RefSeq and is a predicted model, not a curated record.